Molecule: long non-coding RNA, 680 nt
Organism: Acinonyx jubatus (cheetah)
Lineage: Eukaryota; Metazoa; Chordata; Mammalia; Carnivora; Felidae
Exons: 3
Source: RefSeq, a predicted model, not a curated record
UCUCUCUCUGCCCCUCCCCUAGUCAUUCUCUCUUUCUCUCUUUCUCUCUCUCUCUCUCUCAAAAUUAAUAAAUAAACUUAAAAAACAAAGGAUCUUGCUAAAAGCAACAGGGUGAAGUCUUACAAAGUGCAGCGCACUUACCCUUUCAGAACCACAUAAAGCAUUGGAAAGAUUGCAGUCUGCCUUCCACACUACUGAAGCUGAUAGACCAAAUAUUUCGUCAUGAUGUAAAAAAGACAGAAGAUUCUCGUCACAUGUUGCCAAGGAGGCUAAUCAAAAGAAAACUCUUCCUGGAAGGCAAGGCUUAGACCCAUGGAGGACAAUGAAUCCAGAAUCCCUCCCAGUGGACAGAAGCAGAGACUAAUCAAGGAACAUGAUCUACUACCAACAAGAGGGAUCUGAAGUGUUCACCUAGCUGGAUUUCAGAUAUCUAUGGACCAGAGAUUGAUUGUGGCCUGUCUCUCAUUAUUCUCUUUUCAAACACUAGUGCUUUUUUUGGUGGAUAUUCCACCAUUCUAUGACGGAUGUGUGAGUCUGAGGAGUGCCAUCAUUUAAAGUAGAGAUUAUUACAAAAUGAUGGAUUUACAGUCUGAUGCCAUGAUUGGAUAAGAUAUUUAGGAUGUCAUUCUUGGGGUGUAUUUUUGUGCACAAGGAAGGGAAAUAAAUGCUUGUGACUAAGA